CUCCACUGUGAAUCCUCUGUGAACCUGCCCUUGUCUGUUCUGCUGGAAAAGUACUGCGAAGCUUUGUCAGCCCGCACCAAUGUCACAGGUGUCCAGAGACUGAUGAGUACUUCCAAAUUUACACCAACAAAUCUCUAAGCUGUGUGAGGGAGGCUGCAAAAUUCUCAGCAUGAAACACGUCUCAGUUAGGAAUGAGCCUUUAGACGUGCUCCUGUUGACACACAGUCAUCAGCUGUGUCUCCCUGCUUUGGACAAAGUGGAUGUUUCCAUGCUUCUUUUGGAGGAGUGUCCUGAGCCACACUCAGAGCCAGAUUCACCACAAAGCCAGACCAGGAUGUGCCCAAAACUGUUUGAGAAUCCAGCUGUGGCUGCUUUGAGGACGAGAAAGUGAAACGAUGCUUCAUACUUGCAGGUGCUGUUCUGGCUUACCCUGGACUAGAAUUUGAACACUGAAAAUGGAUCAGAGAUUCAGCUUGAAGAAAUCACCUGCUGUAAAGUUGUAGCUGGCAGCUCCUUGUUUAACUCUUAGUUGCAUCACUUUGUUUAACUCUGAUGAAUGAGCUCUGUUAUGUAGGGAAUUAAUUUGUCUUGGCCUUCAAUCCUGAGAUGAGAACACCUUAUUGUAUAGCGAUAGAACCACAGAACAACAGAAUUGUCUGAGACCUUUCAAAUCACUGAGUCCAGUCCUUGACCCAGCGCUGCCCAGUCCACCACUAAACCUUGUCCCCAAGUGCCACAUCUACACUUUUUAAAUACUUCCAGGCUGGUGACUCAGCCACUUCCCUGGGCAGCCCGUUGUCCCAUGUACACAAAAAUAGUUAAGCGCUAAAGCUUGUCAAAAUGCAAAGCAACCUGUAAAGCUCCAGCUCCACAUUGCUCAGCUUUCUUAUUCCAUUACCAAAUAAGAACUAUAAGGGUUGGGUUUUUUCCCCCUCCAGGCAUUCAUCUGACUCAUUAAACUGUCAGAGGGUGGACACUGGCUGUAUAAGAAAGAGAUAAUGGAAAAUGUUAACGUGGUUUAUGUAAGCCACUUGGACUUGAACUGUUCAACACUUCACCCUCUGUGCAUCUUUAUUUGUAGCAGAUUCAUUCUCUUUGUCGUGCUACUGCUGUGCUUAUAUAAAUGGUCAGACAAAAGGAUGCAGAUAUUUCAAGUAGCACAUACCAGUAGCUAGGAGGUGACACAAAUGAGAAACAGAUUGCUAAAGGUAUAAAAUGCUGGGUGGUGUCUCAGCUCCACUGAUGUGGAACAGGAGUCUUCAGGAGAUUUCAAGGUUCCCUCUUCACUCUGUGCACUUUCCACCUUGUGCAGGUGUCCCUGGUAUAUCAGGCCAAUGAUUUAGGAGCUGAUCUCUUGCCUGCUGUCACUGUGAAAUACAUGGGGGGUUAUUACUAUGCCAGAGAAACCUGCUUCUGUGCAGGAAAUUCUCUGGGAUGAACAUGGGAGCUGGGAGAGUGUUCAUUUAUCUCCUGUCCCCAUGCUGUUCCCUAAAUAUCCACUACUGGAGACUGGAAGAUGUAGUAGGUAGACCCUCAGGCAGAACCAAAAGGGCUGCUCUGGUAUUUUUAAACAAGCCUGUUUUUUUUUAUUUAUUGAGUUUAAAGGCAGCCUGAGGCCUGCUCAGCUGUAGAUUGCUACUUUGCAAUAUCCAGAGUUACAGGAAAUUAAUCAUUCUCCUAAGAACCUGCUCUUUCUUUGAAAGAAUCCCUGAGGUAAUUCCACAGCAGGUGGGAGACUAUUACUCAUUGCCUUCUGUGUAAAUAAAGGGGAAAGAGUUAAUAUCAGAAGUGAGAUGUAUUUGCAAUUUUGCUGUUAAUCUGUUCAAGGAGAGUGCUGGUGAGUUCAUCCCUGUGAAUGUGGGUGUGAAAUCUUCAGAUGAAUCCUCAGUGUGUAGCCACACCUCAGUGGGCAUCAGCUCUUUGAAAUUUGUAUCAGCUAAACACAAGUUUUCUGACUGAGAGGGGCAGCUUCUUAUCUAAUCAAUUUGUUGUGGGUUGUUAAAAAUA
This is a non-coding RNA of Cyanistes caeruleus (blue tit), 2007 nucleotides long. Lineage: Eukaryota; Metazoa; Chordata; Aves; Passeriformes; Paridae. The record is from RefSeq and is a predicted model, not a curated record.